Molecule: long non-coding RNA, 917 nt
Organism: Leopardus geoffroyi (Geoffroy's cat)
Lineage: Eukaryota; Metazoa; Chordata; Mammalia; Carnivora; Felidae
Exons: 2
Source: RefSeq, a predicted model, not a curated record
UAGAUAUCUUCUGGUAGUCCAAUUUCAAUGCCCACAGAAAGCAUUUUAUUCUACUGCAUCUACAAAUUCUGCAGAUAAGAGCUCUAAGCGAAAGACAUGAGGCCUAAGACUGAAAUGAGGUUGUUUUGAGGCCAUCUGAUUUCUGACUAGAAGGUGUGCGAUCGCCUCGUCCUGAAACCACUUCAAACAGAAUGGUAAUGGCAAAACCUAAGAGAAAGAGAGGCCUUCAUGUUUUUCCAUGUCUGUUCUCUUAUCCCAAUUCCUUCCUCUUUUAAGAUUAAAACAAAUUUUUUAAGUUACGAACAAAAAGUAUUAAACAAUAUGCUAAUAUACCCUAACUAAACUGGGUCUCGGGUGAAGAGUUGUGUAAAUCUACAUGGUAAGCCUUGUAUAGUUGUUUGAACUUUUUAGUGAGCUACUUAAUUAGUGACAAAAUCUGUAUUCUGUGAAAACGCCUGAGCCAUUAGGAAUUUGCAGAUUGAAAUAAUUUUCUUCCUUUGAAAAAUGAUAGGGUUUGCUCUUAGAAGGGACUCCAGACUUGUGAGGCGUUUCAGACUAGGGAGUUAGGGUUCUUGUCACAACUUUCUUUUGCUGUCAUAAAGAAUUUUAAUGUCUUAUGUAUGUGUUUUUGUUUUUCUAUUUAAGAUGUAAAGUCCUAUUAAGAAUGUUAGUAGUAUCAGUUAGCUCUACUUUAAUUAUUACCGGUAUCUUAGUUCAAAAUGUAUUUUAUAGUUGAGAAUAGCACUGUUUGUUUUUAUUACAGUAAAACUUUUUUGAGAGAGUGCUACUAUUUAUUAAGUUUAUUCCAGUGGUCCAGGUCCUGUUAAAAUAAUGUUGAUGUGGCAAUUACUAGGCUGAAUCCCGCUGGGAAUAGAAUUCCAAUAGGGUCUUUGCUCAAGUUCAGAUUUUAUGCAAAG